This 429-nucleotide ribosomal RNA is filed under the name uncultured Rhodocyclaceae bacterium. RNAcentral describes it as "bacterial SSU rRNA". It matches the Rfam family "Bacterial small subunit ribosomal RNA", at positions 355 to 776 of the family's 1533-position model. Lineage: Bacteria; Pseudomonadati; Pseudomonadota; Betaproteobacteria; Rhodocyclales; Rhodocyclaceae. The record is from RNAcentral.
UGGGGAAUUUUGGACAAUGGGCGAAAGCCUGAUCCAGCCAUGCCGCGUGAGUGAAGAAGGCCUUCGGGUUGUAAAGCUCUUUCGCGAGGGAAGAAAACGCAACGGCUAAUACCUGUUGUGGAUGACGGUACCUUGAUAAGAAGCACCGGCUAACUACGUGCCAGCAGCCGCGGUAAUACGUAGGGUGCGAGCGUUAAUCGGAAUUACUGGGCGUAAAGCGUGCGCAGGCGGUUUGUUAAGACAGGCGUGAAAUCCCCGGGCUCAACCUGGGAAUGGCGCUUGUGACUGGCAGGCUAGAGUAUGGCAGAGGGGGGUAGAAUUCCACGUGUAGCAGUGAAAUGCGUAGAGAUGUGGAGGAAUACCGAUGGCGAAGGCAGCCCCCUGGGCCAAUACUGACGCUCAUGCACGAAAGCGUGGGGAGCAAACAGG